ACACGCACCAAGAAGUCAUCAAAGACAGCCCAACUCACAGCCCAUGAGGGACCCUGAGUACUGCCUCUGACCUCUCUAUGGCAAGCCAAAUGGCCAUGGGAAGACCCCAUGGAGUGUCAGAAUGAUGCCGUUGAGGGCAAGGAUUUUAGACCGGUCAUGGAUUCUGCCUGUGCACUGGGCUCUACCACUUUCUAGCUAUCUGGCUACUAGCAAGUUACCUUAACAAUCUAAGUUUCAACCUCCCCAUUCGUGAAAUGGAGAUGAUGUCUUAGUCAUAGAAGUAGCAAGUCUACUGCAUAUCAACAGUGUAGCACUGAGCCUGGCUCUUUAUAAGGAAACAGGCCGAGAGACGCAAGUCAAACAGCAAAGGAUGGUCUGCUGUCUGUCUGACUCCAAUGCCAAUGGUCUUUCCUCUAUAACCUAAAGCAAUAAAACCCCUGCAACAUCUA
Molecule: long non-coding RNA, 449 nt
Filed under: Homo sapiens (human)
Lineage: Eukaryota; Metazoa; Chordata; Mammalia; Primates; Hominidae
Description: long independently transcribed non-coding RNA 2727 (LINC02727)
Source: RNAcentral